GCGGGGGUUGUAGAGCCUGGCCAAAUACGCGGGACUUAAGAUCACAGUUAUAGGUGAUCCCGUCUCUCAGGGGUUCGUGGGUUCGAAUCCCACCCCCCGCA
Molecule: transfer RNA, 101 nt
Filed under: Nitrososphaeraceae archaeon
Lineage: Archaea; Thermoproteati; Nitrososphaerota; Nitrososphaeria; Nitrososphaerales; Nitrososphaeraceae
Description: tRNA-Leu
Rfam family: tRNA
About the family: Transfer RNA (tRNA) molecules are approximately 80 nucleotides in length. Their secondary structure includes four short double-helical elements and three loops (D, anti-codon, and T loops). Further hydrogen bonds mediate the characteristic L-shaped molecular structure. tRNAs have two regions of fundamental functional importance: the anti-codon, which is responsible for specific mRNA codon recognition, and the 3' end, to which the tRNAs corresponding amino acid is attached (by aminoacyl-tRNA synthetases). tRNAs cope with the degeneracy of the genetic code in two manners: having more than one tRNA (with a specific anti-codon) for a particular amino acid; and 'wobble' base-pairing, i.e. permitting non-standard base-pairing at the 3rd anti-codon position.
Source: RNAcentral